GGGGGGGGGGGGGGGGGGGGGGGAGGGGGGCAGGGCGAAGGGGAGGGCGGGCUGCGGCGUGGCGGCGAGUGGCGAACGGGGGAGUAAUGCAUCGGAACGUGCCCAGGAGUGGGGGAGAGCUCGGCGAAAGCCGGAUGAAUCCCGCAUACGACCUGAGGGGGAGAGCGGGGGAUCUUCGGACCUCGCGCCAUUGGAGCGGCCGAUGGCAGAUUAGCUAGUUGGUGGGGUAAAGGCCUACCAAGGCGACGAUCUGUAGCUGGUCUGAGAGGACGACCAGCCACACUGGGACUGAGACACGGCCCAGACUCCUACGGGAGGCAGCAGUGGGGAAUUUUGGACAAUGGGCGAAAGCCUGAUCCAGCAAUGCCGCGUGUGUGAUGAAGGCCUUCGGGUUGUAAAGCACUUUUGGCGGGAACGAAAAGGACUGUGCCAAUACCACGGUUCGAUGACGGUACCCGCAGAAUAAGCACCGGCUAACUACGUG
This 484-nucleotide ribosomal RNA is filed under the name uncultured bacterium. Its description in RNAcentral is "partial 16S ribosomal RNA". The stretch from base 54 to 484 matches the Rfam family "Bacterial small subunit ribosomal RNA", at positions 39 to 507 of the family's 1533-position model. The record is from RNAcentral.